Molecule: long non-coding RNA, 1401 nt
Organism: Phacochoerus africanus (Common warthog)
Lineage: Eukaryota; Metazoa; Chordata; Mammalia; Artiodactyla; Suidae
Exons: 3
Source: RefSeq, a predicted model, not a curated record
GUGGCGGCGGCGGCGCCACGUCGGGCCGGGCUGCAGAGAUCCUCCGCCGUGGGUUCCGGGGCCGCCUCCCGAGCGGGAGCGCGGUCCGCAGCGGGCUGGGACCGCGGGAGGGAGUGAGUAGGGCCAAGGGAUGCUCGGACGCGCCGGUGCUGAGAACUGAUUCUGGGUGGACGUGCAAUUCACAUGCGCCGUGGGUGUUUUUUCUGGGCAGCGGCCCUGGAGCCGAAGAGCAGGGAGUUAGAACAGCGUCUACCAGGGAGCUGACCUAGUUUCGGAGGUUGGAAGUCCAAGAUCAAGGUGUUGGCAGGGAUGGUUUGUGAAGAGAACUCUCCCCUUGGCCUGCAGAGGGCAGCCUUCUUGCCGUGUCUUCACGGGGCCUUUGCCGGGAAUUCUUUGGCGAUGCUCCAAAGGAUACUCUGCAGGGCGGUGGAAAACCAAAUCUUCAAUUCAAUUCUGAAGUGCGGCUCCCUUGGUUUUCAGCCCGAGCUCGAUAUGAAGUUUAGCGCUGCAAUGUAUCACUUUGUUCCUUGCUUGUAUUGGGGGAGACACGUUUAAUAUUUAGAAGAAGAAUGAAGCCAAUUGCAAGUAGCUUCUGGAAAUGGAAGAAUGGGAGAAAUCAGGACUACUCCCUUCCCAAGCCCAGGUCCAAGUCUUUCCCCUACUUUUUUUUGGGGGGGGGGGAGUAGGGGGGAUGCCCUUGGCAUGAGGAAAUGCCCAGGCCAGGGAUCAAACUUGCAUGACAGCAGUGACUUGAGCCACAGCACCGACAAUGCCAGAUCCUUAACCUGCUGAGCCACCAGGGAACUCGUCCCCUACUUCUUUCCGCCCCAAAGUUGGGAUUACAAGAAUCCCUUUUCCAUGUGUUGUAUAUUCCACUCCAUACCCAUUCCCAGCUGAUUUGCCUCUCCAUCCUCUGAUGAAUCCUUGCCCAUAAUUUCUAUUGUUUCCAGCCUCUGGAACACAAGCCACUUGGCACUGGUCCUUCUAGAUGGGAUCCAGGGAGCUCUAUUCUUCCGUUCAACAAAUAUAAAUGCCAAUGACAUUCUGGACAGUUUGCUGAAUUCCAAAAUCUACAGUCAGGGUUCCUAUGCUCAAGAUACCUAUCAUUCACCUUGGUGUUUGAGGAUUCCCCAAGAUGUGGGUUUGGGAAAUAGACGAAAGAAGAGGCACACGAUCCCUGCGAUGGACCAAAACCAAAACCAAAUUAAUGAAACUUGAUCUGUAGAUGUGGGAUCUUUGUCUUUUAAUAUGUGAGCCUGUCCAGACACUUGUAAAUGAGAAUUAACAUGGAAUCAGAAGAAAACUUGGGAGUUCUCUAAUCGCCUAGUGGGUAAAGGCUCUUGCCUUUUCACUGCUGUGGCUCUGAUUGCUCCUGUGGCACAGGUUUGAGCCCUGGCCCAG